CAAGUUUUAGUUUUUGGUAAACUUUAUUAUUUACAUUAAUAAAAUUUCUGUUCAAAUCAGAUAAACUUGA
RNAcentral lists this transfer RNA (70 nucleotides) under Metasalis populi. RNAcentral's name for it is "tRNA-Val". Lineage: Eukaryota; Metazoa; Arthropoda; Insecta; Hemiptera; Tingidae. The record is from RNAcentral.